Molecule: ribosomal RNA, 350 nt
Filed under: uncultured Pseudomonas sp.
Lineage: Bacteria; Pseudomonadati; Pseudomonadota; Gammaproteobacteria; Pseudomonadales; Pseudomonadaceae
Description: bacterial SSU rRNA
Rfam family: Bacterial small subunit ribosomal RNA
Source: RNAcentral
GGGUUGGGGUAGUCCGUACGAGCGCACCCUUGUCCUUAGUUACCAGCACGUUAAGGUGGGCACUCUAAGCAGAUCGCCGGUGACAAACCGGAGGAAGGUGGGGAUGACGUCAAGUCAUCAUGGCCCUUACGGCCUGGGCUACACACGUGCUACAAUGGUCGGUACAAAGGGUUGCCAAGCCGCGAGGUGGAGCUAAUCCCAUAAAACCGAUCGUAGUCCGGAUCGCAGUCUGCAACUCGACUGCGUGAAGUCGGAAUCGCUAGUAAUCGUGAAUCAGAAUGUCACGGUGAAUACGUUCCCGGGCCUUGUACACACCGCCCGUGGGGCGGGGGCGGCGGGCCGGGCGCGGG